CUGAGAACUACAGUCUGCAGGCAUCAGAGUGACAGCUGCAAUGCUCCCCAAACUGUCCUGCCAGCCAAUGCAUGGAACUGCCUAGACACUUCCAUGAAAGGAAAUAUUUUCCAUCUGUUUCCUUAAACAGUUGCACUGAAGCACCUAAUCUGGUAGUUAGAAGAAAUGAAACAUAGAGGGAACUAUAUUGAAAUCAAGAAGAAACUGACAUUCCUGCAGAUAAGCUCUAGUUAUGUAAAAUCUUAGAUUAUUCAUAUUUCAUUUUCUCAGGAACAGAGCAGUAGGAAAGUCUAUACUGGAAAGAAUGGUGAUACUCCUGAUGGAGGAAGAUGGGGAUGGCACUGGAUUCCAUGACAGAAGGAAAGAAAGCAGGAAGUAACUCCCCAGUUUGCUUGAUUUUUACCUGAUGAUUUACAAGGUCGCAGAUGAAGACACUGAACAUGACCAGACCCACUACUGACCUCCGGGGAACACAGUUAAGGACCUCCUGUUCUGUCAUAUGUCGACCUUCACCUAUACCUUCAUUAUCCACUGGGGAGCUGUAUCAUCAUGUCUGCACAAUGAGGCCAGUGGUGCUAAUCUACUGCAGUAGAAAUGAUGGGUGGCCUUUCCAGCUUGGAUCACAGUCAUUCAGUCAGGUUCUUCCUGAGGUAUCCUCGUCAGCAAUACAGAACAUGACAUUGAGGAAAGAGAAGAAAGGGCAGUCUCGCUGCUCUCCCUCGUUCUAUGCCAGAUUCCAGCUGAACCCAGAAUGGAGCCAUCAUAAUUAAGGGGAUGAAGAUCUAAGACAUAUUUUACUUGCAUUUCCAAUGAGCGUACCUAUAGAAAUUGUAAACAAUUAUUAAAAAUAGGUUAUUCAUAGAUUUUGGAUCUGGCUAUGAAAUAUAAAUAUUCCUUCACCCACACAACUCUGAAAUAACCAAAUGAAAUUUGUAAUGGAAAUAUGAUUUAUCAGGAACUUGUGACUUUCUCAGAGAUAGUCUUCCAAUCUACGCUUGAAUCUAUAUUUUUCCCAUCUUCUGUAUCUUCUAUAUACAAAAUUUCAGAGAAAAAUCAGUUUCUCCCUUUUUUUUUUUUUUUUUUUUUUUUCCCCACCUAGGACAUGAGUGAAAAAAAGAAAUAGAGAAGAGACACUUCCUAGUAACUUCAGAAUGGGCCAGUGAUUUGGAUUAUCACAAGUCUGCACCAAGGCAGAUAAGUACCAGUUACUUUAUACGUGGCAGAACAUCCCCAGAAGGAGAGAUCUGCCCCCCUCUCUGAAGAGUAUUCUCACAAAAGGUAGACCUAGAAAGCUUAAUAUCUGUGAAGUAGUAAGAGAACUUGAAAAUCAUUUUCCCAGUGCACCUAUUUGUGGUGGCUAAGGUCAAAUUUGAGGCAUGUUGAUGAGUUGGCAUUCUCCGGCAGUGUCUCACUCUUGAUAUUUAUGUGCAUUCUUCUAUACAUAUACAAAUAACUAGAAAAUAGAUGAAGCAUAGGUAAAACUGACACUAGGUCUUUCUGCAUCUCUGGCUAACCUGGUCCUCUAUCUUGCUGAUAAUAAAUGGAGUAAGCCUAUAGGUUUCUGGUGAACA
This is a long non-coding RNA of Coturnix japonica (Japanese quail), 1571 nucleotides long. The record is from Ensembl. Lineage: Eukaryota; Metazoa; Chordata; Aves; Galliformes; Phasianidae.